CCUACGGGAGGCUGCAGUGAGGAAUAUUGGUCAAUGGACGCAAGUCUGAACCAGCCAUGCCGCGUGCGGGAAGACGGCUCUAUGAGUUGUAAACUGCUUUUGUACGAGGGUAAAUCCCGAUACGUGUAUCGGGUUGAAAGUAUCGUACGAAUAAGGAUCGGCUAACUCCGUGCCAGCAGCCGCGGUAAUACGGAGGAUUCAAGCGUUAUCCGGAUUUAUUGGGUUUAAAGGGUGCGUAGGCGGGUCGAUAAGGUAGAUGUGAAAUCCCGGGGCUUAACCCCGGCACUGCCUCUGAUACUGUAGGGCUAGAGUUGAGUUGAGGUAGGCGGAAUGUAUGGAGUAGCGGUGAAAUGCAUAGAGAUCACAUAGAACACCGAUAGCGAAGGCAGCUUACCAAACUACGACUGACGUUGAGGCACGAAAGCGUGGGGAGCAAACAGGAUUAGAUACCCGGGUAGUC
Molecule: ribosomal RNA, 460 nt
Filed under: uncultured bacterium
Lineage: Bacteria
Description: partial 16S ribosomal RNA
Rfam family: Bacterial small subunit ribosomal RNA
Source: RNAcentral